CUUUGAGCCAAAGGGUUUGAACCUCUUCUCAGGUUUAAACAACGGAGCCUGUGAUAAACUGCAUUGCAUCCUACUGUAAGAUCUUCAGGGCUUUACAAGGGUAGCAAGUAGAUUUUCCCCUGUUUUAAAGAUGAGGAGAAACUGAGGCAUAUUAAGAAGACCUCUUUGCAUAAGGUUUCCUUAUUAUGGCGUAUGCUUCCCUCCUCCCCUCCCCCCCAACCAAAAUCUAUAGUGGAAUAUACCGUUUUGUCUCUGAAAAGUAUUAUGAACAAACAGAACAUAUGUGCAGUAAAAAUAUAAAUAACAGAUUCUAACUCCAGAAGGCAUCACCAUGUUAACUAUUCUAUGUAUACCCUGUAAUCACAGAAUUUACCCUUCUUCUUGGGUAAGUUAGCCUGCACUAAGCUCUGGCCAUAGGUGACUGGUAGGGGGUGCAUGGAGGUACACGUGCCCCCCUCAUGAGUCUGGUGCCCCCCCUGACAGCCAACACCAAUGCUGUUGGUAGGGCUUGUGCCUCCC
Molecule: long non-coding RNA, 519 nt
Organism: Alligator sinensis (Chinese alligator)
Lineage: Eukaryota; Metazoa; Chordata; Crocodylia; Alligatoridae
Exons: 3
Source: RefSeq, a predicted model, not a curated record